This 468-nucleotide ribosomal RNA is filed under the name uncultured bacterium. RNAcentral describes it as "partial 16S ribosomal RNA". It matches the Rfam family "Bacterial small subunit ribosomal RNA", at positions 28 to 507 of the family's 1533-position model. The record is from RNAcentral.
GACGAACGCUGGCGGCGUGCUUAACACACGCAAGUCGAACGGAAAGGCCCUGCUUUUGUGGGGUGCUCGAGUGGCGAACGGGUGAGUAACACGUGAGUAACCUGCCCUUGACUUUGGGAUAACUUCAGGAAACUGGGGCUGAUACCGGAUAGGAGCUCCUGCUGCAUGGUGGGGGUUGGAAAGUUUCGGCGGUUGGGGAUGGACUCGCGGCUUAUCAGCUUGUUGGGGGGGUAGUGGCUUACCAAGGCUUUGACGGGUAGCCGGCCUGAGAGGGUGACCGGCCACAUUGGGACUGAGAUACGGCCCAGACUCCUACGGGAGGCAGCAGUGGGGAAUAUUGCACAAUGGGCGGAAGCCUGAUGCAGCAACGCCGCGUGCGGGAUGACGGCCUUCGGGUUGUAAACCGCUUUCGCCUGUGACGAAGCGUGAGUGACGGUAAUGGGUAAAGAAGCACCGGCUAACUACGUG